AAAAAAUGGCAAGUAUUUUUUUAUUUUUGUGUGUUUAAUGAUAACUGAAUGAAUCAUAAAAAAGAAAAGAAAUAUUAUUGUAGAAGUCUCACUUUAAAGAUCCUUCAGCAAGACAACGGACGGAAACGCACAAGAAAAAUAAAAAUGAAAUCAUAACACUCCUGUACUACAUGAUAAACCGGAUAUAACACCGCAAUCCCCGGAUUUGAUUCCGACUGGACAUGCACGGAAUAUAAUGAAGAAAAAAUAAGAAAUGGAACAGUCAUAGGAAAGGAAACACACUGAAAAUGGUAUGGGAAUCCAUCACAGCAAAACAAAAAAAUGUAUUCAUAUUUCCUUUCCAUGUUCAAUACUAAGAAAAAAAUUCGCUAAAAAAUAUCAAAUAUAAAAAAUAAAAUAGAAUAUUAAAUUUUA
Molecule: long non-coding RNA, 414 nt
Organism: Argiope bruennichi
Lineage: Eukaryota; Metazoa; Arthropoda; Arachnida; Araneae; Araneidae
Exons: 2
Source: RefSeq, a predicted model, not a curated record